This is a long non-coding RNA of Fopius arisanus, 733 nucleotides long. RefSeq lists it as uncharacterized. The record is from RefSeq and is a predicted model, not a curated record. NCBI's taxonomy places the organism in Eukaryota, Metazoa, Arthropoda, Insecta, Hymenoptera, Braconidae. The transcript is spliced from 2 exons.
AGCACCACGUCAGUCGAACCUCAUGAGUGUGCGAUUAUUUUGCAGCUCUUUUCACGCUCUUCUAAAUGAUAUAAGAGUGAUGCCCGUUAGAUUACAAUAAACACAUGAGAAAUAUGACAAAAGUGAGUCGCACGAAACUCACCGCCAUUUUUAUUUCAUUUGGAAAUAUCUAAAGAAAUAUGGAAGAUAUCCAGAAGAGAGUUGAACUAGACCAAAGGAGUUCCUCUAGAAAAUGGUAUAAGAUACAGCAGAAGUAUUCUCCAAGCAACUUUUGAUUUUCUUCUAUCUUAGGAGUUUCUGAAAAUUAGACCAAAGGAGUUCCUCUAGAAAAUGGUAUAAGAUACAGCAGGAGUAUUCUCCAAGCAACUUUUGAUUUUCUUCUAUCUUAUGUGAAUGUCCAUAAGAUCCAUGUAUUACAUUGUUACUUAUACGAAUGAAAUGAUAGCAUAUAACUGGUAUAUGUGAAAUUUCAUUGCAGGAGUUUCUGAAAAUUCAAUUCGUUAUGGUGCCGAUUGGCAAGGUAUUCUCACAGAAAUUAAUGCAAUAUUAAUCAUCUACGGAAUAAUCAGUAAGGGCUUCACUGAAGUUUAGGUCUCAUGAUGCUCGAAUUCUGAGCGUUGAACGCUCAAUAAUAAAAGAAUACUUUUCACCAGUAAAAAGUACUGAGCACCAGUGCGUAAAAUACUUUUUCAAUGUAAAAUUACACUGGAAAUACAUUAUCGUCGCAUUUUAA